AUUGAACGCUGGCGGCAGGCCUAACACAUGCAAGUCGAGCGGAUGAAGGGAGCUUGCUCCUGGAUUCAGCGGCGGACGGGUGAGUAAUGCCUAGGAAUCUGCCUGGUAGUGGGGGAUAACGUCCGGAAACGGGCGCUAAUACCGCAUACGUCCUGAGGGGGAAAGUGGGGGAUCUUCGGACCUCACGCUAUCAGAUGAGCCUAGGUCGGAUUAGCUAGUUGGUGGGGUAAAGGCCUACCAAGGCGACGAUCCGUAACUGGUCUGAGAGGAUGAUCAGUCACACUGGAACUGAGACACGGUCCAGACUCCUACGGGAGGCAGCAGUGGGGAAUAUUGGACAAUGGGCGAAAGCCUGAUCCAGCCAUGCCGCGUGUGUGAAGAAGGUCUUCGGAUUGUAAAGCACUUUAAGUUGGGAGGAAGGGCAGUAAGUUAAUGCCUUGCUGUUUUGACGUUACCAACAGAAUAAGCACCGGCUAACUUCGUG
RNAcentral lists this ribosomal RNA (484 nucleotides) under uncultured bacterium. RNAcentral describes it as "partial 16S ribosomal RNA". It matches the Rfam family "Bacterial small subunit ribosomal RNA", at positions 30 to 507 of the family's 1533-position model. The record is from RNAcentral.